Molecule: long non-coding RNA, 1224 nt
Organism: Cyprinus carpio carpio
Lineage: Eukaryota; Metazoa; Chordata; Actinopteri; Cypriniformes; Cyprinidae
Source: Ensembl
UUGGGCUCUUUAGAUUGCACAAAAUGUGACCCAUAAAUGAGCAUGAACCCUGAAGCAAAACAUCUCAAAUGACUGGCGCAGUGGGAGGCUGCUCAUAAAACACUUCCAUCCAACAAACACACACACGCUGGCAGGCAGCUUGUCUCAAAUCUCUUGGAUCAAAUCAUUCUUGAAUGCUAAGCAGCACAGUCUGUUGUUUUGUUGUCCAUGUUGCUAAGCGACCAUCAGCAAGUCAAAGGCUGAGAGAAAAGACAAAUCCCAAAAGAAAAUGAGACGUGGUGGAGGGCAGGAAAUUGCAAGUUUUUAAAAGCCAGUCAAUGUGGGACACGAGGUCUCUCGAGAAGAUGGUGAAUAGGACGACUCUAAGCACACAGAGAGUGCUCCAUGCACACAUUCUGGAACUAGGGGAACAGUUAUGUCCAUGGUCAUCUCCCAGUGCUCCAAAUCUGGUCAAUCCACAGCCUGUGACUGAACAAGAGCAGCCUGACGUCCCCACCAUGGAGGAAUUUAAGCAGCUGGCAGAGAAGGAGAAACACGCUGCCCUUAAACUCCAAGAGGAGGAGUGUGUGAGGAGGUGUGUGCAGGAUGCUGAGAGAAGCAUUCGUGAGGAGUGUGACAUGAAGGCAGAAAGACAGAAACAGGCCCUACAGGACAGACAUGAAGAGAAGAUAUCUAAGCUACAAAACAGGAUACAGCAGCUGCAGGACAGUCUGGAGCAGGCCUGCAGGGAGCGCAUUCAGUAUGAAGCAGAGUUUAAGAAGGUGCAGGCCAGCUACAGGCGGUUUGUGGACCUGACUGAUUCCUCCCUCCACUCUGAUUACCUCUUAAAACUGCGCAGACUGGGGAGAGAGCCAGGUCUCACGGACACUGCGACACAGACUGAUGAGAUCACCUCCUAGCUUGUGAUGGCAGUGUGCACACUGUCUGGGUAUUUGACAUGUCAUAGCAGUCACAGCAGUGUCCUGCACGACACGCUGUACUUUGUCUAAAACCAUUUGAAACAUGUAUUAAUGUUAAAAGAUUGUGGUAUCUAAAAUAUACUUUCACUAAUACAUUUAUCUUUACAAAGUAUUUUUUAGUAAUGAAACAUGUCAACUCUUUCAUAAUAAAUAGAAUAUGUAUUGUGUUGCAAGAUAAAAUCUAGUACAGCACAUUUUGCUGUCUGCAUGUAAAACUAUGUUGAACUAAUUGGUUUAUCAGAUCAAAUUUUAAUAAAUAAUUCUG